GCUGGGUGUGCUGGCGUGCACCUGUAAUCCCAGCUACUUGGGAGGCUGAGGCAGCAGAAUCGCUUGAACCUGGGAGGCGGAGGCUGCAGUGAGCUGAGAUUGUGUCACUGCACUCUCCAGCCUGGGUGACAGAGUGAGACUCAGUCUCAA
Molecule: small RNA, 150 nt
Filed under: Macaca fascicularis (crab-eating macaque)
Lineage: Eukaryota; Metazoa; Chordata; Mammalia; Primates; Cercopithecidae
Also listed under: 1 other name
Description: Metazoan signal recognition particle RNA (ENSMFAG00000056901.1)
Source: Rfam by way of RNAcentral